CUACAUGAAGCUGGAAUCGCUAGUAAUCGCAGAUCAGAAUGCUGCGGUGAAUACGUUCCCGGGUCUUGUACACACCGCCCGUCACACCAUGGGAGUCGGAAAUGCCCGAAGCCAGUGACCCAACCUUAAGGAGGGAGCUGUCGAAGGUGGAGCCGGUAACUGGGGUGAAGUCGUAACAAGGUACC
Molecule: ribosomal RNA, 185 nt
Filed under: uncultured bacterium
Lineage: Bacteria
Description: partial 16S ribosomal RNA
Rfam family: Bacterial small subunit ribosomal RNA
Source: RNAcentral